UGAACGCUGGCGGUAUGCCUUACACAUGCAAGUCGUACGAGAGUUUUUAACUCAAGUGGCGGACGGGUGAGUAACACGUAAGAAUUUGCCUUUAGGAGGGGGAUAACAACUGGAAACGGUUGCUAAUACCCCAUAUGCUUUCGAGUGAAAUGGAUUUCCGCCUAGAGAGAAGCUCGCGGCUGAUUAGCUUGUUGGUAAGGUAAGAGCUUACCAAGGCGACGAUCAGUAUCUGGUUUGAGAGGACGAUCAGACACACUGGAACUGAGACACGGUCCAGACUCCUACGGGAGGCAGCAGUGGGGAAUUUUCCGCAAUGGGCGAAAGCCUGACGGAGCAAUACCGCGUGAGGGAAGACUGCCUAUGGGUUGUAAACCUCUUUUUUCAGGGAGGAAUAAAUGACGUGUACCUGAAGAAUAAGCAUCGGCUAACUCC
RNAcentral lists this ribosomal RNA (432 nucleotides) under uncultured bacterium. RNAcentral's name for it is "bacterial SSU rRNA". It matches the Rfam family "Bacterial small subunit ribosomal RNA", at positions 30 to 504 of the family's 1533-position model. The record is from RNAcentral.